AGCGUAGGCUGUGCGGUAAGUCAGAUGUGAAAUCCCGGGGCUCAACCCCGGAACUGCAUCCGAUACUGCCGUGCUAGAGGAUUGGAGAGGUAGCUGGAAUUCACGGUGUAGCAGUGAAAUGCGUAGAUAUCGUGAGGAACACCUAUGGCGAAAGCAAGCUACUGGACAACUCCUGACGCUGAGGCUCGAAGGCCAGGGUAGCGAAA
This 206-nucleotide ribosomal RNA is filed under the name uncultured bacterium. RNAcentral's name for it is "partial 16S ribosomal RNA". It matches the Rfam family "Bacterial small subunit ribosomal RNA", at positions 568 to 773 of the family's 1533-position model. The record is from RNAcentral.